CCUACGGGAGGCAGCAGUGAGGAAUAUUGCACAAUGGGCGCGACCCUGAACCAGCCAAGUAGCGUGAAGGAUGACUGCCCUACGUGUUGUAAACUUCUUUUAUAAAGGAAUAAAGUGAGGCACGUGUGCCUUUUUGUAUGUACUUUAUGAAUAAGGAUCGGCUAACUCCGUGCCAGCAGCCGCGGUAAUACGGAGGAUCCGAGCGUUAUCCGGAUUUAUUGGGUUGAAAGGGAGCGUAGAUGGGUUGUUAAGUCAGUUGUGAAAGUUUGCGGCUCAACCGUAAAAUUGCAAUUGAUACUGGCAGCCUUGAGUACAGUUGAGGUAGGCGGAAUUCGUGGUGUAGCGGUGAAAUGCUUAGAUAUUACGAAGAACUCCGAUUGCGAAGGCAGCUUACUAAACUGCCACUGACAUUGAUGCUCGAAAGUGUGGGUAUCAAACAGGAUUAGAUACCCGAGUAGUC
This 460-nucleotide ribosomal RNA is filed under the name uncultured bacterium. Its description in RNAcentral is "partial 16S ribosomal RNA". It matches the Rfam family "Bacterial small subunit ribosomal RNA", at positions 338 to 795 of the family's 1533-position model. The record is from RNAcentral.